This 519-nucleotide ribosomal RNA is filed under the name uncultured bacterium. RNAcentral's name for it is "bacterial SSU rRNA". It matches the Rfam family "Bacterial small subunit ribosomal RNA", at positions 777 to 1296 of the family's 1533-position model. The record is from RNAcentral.
AAUAGAUACCCCGGUAGUCCACGCCGUAAACGAUGAGUGCUAAGUGUUAGAGGGUUUCCGCCCUUUAGUGCUGCAGCAAACGCAUUAAGCACUCCGCCUGGGGAGUACGGUCGCAAGACUGAAACUCAAAGGAAUUGACGGGGGCCCGCACAAGCGGUGGAGCAUGUGGUUUAAUUCGACGCAACGCGAAGAACCUUACCCAGGCUCGAAAUGCAGGUGACAGGCGGCGAAAGUCGCUUUCCGCAAGGACACCUGUAUAGGUGCUGCAUGGCUGUCGUCAGCUCGUGUCGUGAGAUGUUGGGUUAAGUCCCGCAACGAGCGCAACCCUUGUUCGCUGUUGCCAUCAGGUCAAGCUGGGCACUCUGCGAAGACUGCCGGUGACAAACCGGAGGAAGGUGGGGAUGACGUCAAGUCAGCAUGGCCUUUAUGUCUGGGGCUACACACGUGCUACAAUGGCCGGUACAGAGCGUCGCGAUCCCGCGAGGGGGAGCUAAUCGCAUAAAGCCGGUCUCAGUUCGG